GUAGGAGUGAGCCUGCUCGCGAUGGCGAUGUGUCAGUCAAUUUCAUCGAAGCUGACACACCGCCAUCGCGAGCAGGCUCACUCCUAC
This 87-nucleotide unclassified non-coding RNA is filed under the name Pseudomonas granadensis. Lineage: Bacteria; Pseudomonadati; Pseudomonadota; Gammaproteobacteria; Pseudomonadales; Pseudomonadaceae. The record is from RNAcentral.